CGGGAUAACACCUGGAAACAGAUGCUAAUACCGGAUAACAACAGAUGAUGCCUAUCAACUGUUUAAAAGAUGGUUCUGCUAUCACUCUUGGAUGGACCUGCGGUGCAUUAGCUAGUUGGUAGGGUAACGGCCUACCAAGGCGAUGAUGCAUAGCCGAGUUGAGAGACUGAUCGGCCACAUUGGGACUGAGACACGGCCCAAACUCCUACGGGAGGCAGCAGUG
Molecule: ribosomal RNA, 223 nt
Filed under: uncultured Lactobacillus sp.
Lineage: Bacteria; Bacillati; Bacillota; Bacilli; Lactobacillales; Lactobacillaceae
Description: partial 16S ribosomal RNA
Rfam family: Bacterial small subunit ribosomal RNA
Source: RNAcentral